Molecule: non-coding RNA, 27 nt
Filed under: Rattus norvegicus (Norway rat)
Lineage: Eukaryota; Metazoa; Chordata; Mammalia; Rodentia; Muridae
Source: RNAcentral
UGAGAACAAUACCCCUGACAGUGUCUC